Molecule: long non-coding RNA, 442 nt
Filed under: Bos taurus (domestic cattle)
Lineage: Eukaryota; Metazoa; Chordata; Mammalia; Artiodactyla; Bovidae
Description: long non-coding RNA NONBTAT011552
Source: RNAcentral
GGGAAAUAAUCCGUGAGUAUAGAUGAGGAUGGCAGAGAAGAGUGCUCGUUCGCAGUUUUCCAUGUAAAGUCCCUGACUAGUUUGUCAUGUCAGUUGUCAUCCCCACCCAAAAAAGGAAUUAUUUCUAACCUAGCUGUAUCACUUGAAACUUUAGAAACAAAGUAAUCAGGGAAGUUUCUAGAGAGAAAGGUGUCAGGUUUUUGGUUUUGUUUUGUUUUUCCUUGAGGAUUGGGGUCAAGAAUACCUCCCCCCAAAACUGUCAGCACAAAACAGGGUAUUGACUUUUAACUCUGAUGUUGCUAUUGGAGUUGAAUACUAAAUAAGUAACUAUAGUGAGGAAAAUACAUUUCUAAUAAAAUUCCCUACAUUCUAGAAGCAUCCCUGAAUGCCCUUUUUACACAAACAUUUAUGUGCUGUCACAUAAACAUGCUUUUAAAAACUC